This 254-nucleotide ribosomal RNA is filed under the name uncultured bacterium. RNAcentral describes it as "partial 16S ribosomal RNA". It matches the Rfam family "Bacterial small subunit ribosomal RNA", at positions 524 to 776 of the family's 1533-position model. The record is from RNAcentral.
UACGUAGGGUGCAAGCGUUGUCCGGAUUUAUUGGGCGUAAAGAGCUCGUAGGCGGUUUGGCAAGUCGGGUGUGAAAACUCCAGGCUCAACCUGGAGAUGCCACCCGAUACUGCUAUGACUUGAGUCUGGUAGGGGAGCACGGAAUUCCUGGUGUAGCGGUGAAAUGCGUUGAUAUUGGCAGGAACGCCGGUGGUGAAGACGCGCGGCUGGACCUUUUCUGACGCUGAUGCACGAAAGCCAGGGGAGCAAACGGG